GACAAACGCUGGCGGCAUGCCUAACACAUGCAAGUCGAACGGACAGAACAGGGAAGCUUUUCGGAGUGGAACUGGAAAGUUAGUGGCGGAUGGGUGAGUAACGCGUGGACAACCUACCUUGUAAAGGGGAAUAACCUCGAGAAAUUGAAGCUAAUACCCCAUAAUAACCUUGCUUCGCAUGAAGUAAGGAGGAAAGGCGGCCUUAGCGCUGUCGAUACAAGAUGGGUCCGCGUCUGAUUAGCUAGUUGGUGAGGUAAAGGCUCACCAAGGCGACGAUCAGUAGCCGGCCUGAGAGGGUGAACGGCCACAUUGGGACUGAGACACGGCCCAAACUCCUACGGGAGGCAGCAGUGGGGAAUCUUCCGCAAUGGGCGAAAGCCUGACGGAGCAAUGCCGCGUGAGUGAAGAAGGCCUUCGGGUUGUAAAACUCUGUCCUUAUCGAAGAGAGAGUGUUGUAGUAACUGACAAUACUAGGACGGUAGAUGAGGAGGAAGCCCCGGCUAACUAUGUG
This 511-nucleotide ribosomal RNA is filed under the name uncultured bacterium. Its description in RNAcentral is "partial 16S ribosomal RNA". It matches the Rfam family "Bacterial small subunit ribosomal RNA", at positions 28 to 507 of the family's 1533-position model. The record is from RNAcentral.